Molecule: long non-coding RNA, 910 nt
Organism: Ixodes scapularis (black-legged tick)
Lineage: Eukaryota; Metazoa; Arthropoda; Arachnida; Ixodida; Ixodidae
Exons: 7
Source: RefSeq, a predicted model, not a curated record
CGCUCCGGGUGAAGUGGUCGGAAGUAAUAGAGUUGGUCGUGGUGCGGCCGUGCGGCUGCGGCAUCGGCGGCACGUCAUCGAAACGAAACUUGUGCGGCUGGCAGUUGGUGCAACAGUGGACAGUGCGGCGAAGAUGAAUCGCUCAGCCUAGAACAGGAAUCAUCACAUCGACGGGUGCUUUGUUUUGACGUUGGUCUUGCUCUGCACGGAUCGUGUCUUUUCUUAGUCUACAUUCAGCAUCGUUUACAAGGCUCGGCAAGGCUGGCGUGGGUUCCGCAGUGCUAUGGCAGCAACGGGAACCAGCGUCGUGCUGAGGAGUUACGGAAGCAAUUUCUCUUGAGGCUUGCAUCACCGGCCGCGCGGCCGAUUGCACCCGCACAACCCGGCUGCGGCUCGCCUCCAGCUUCCAACCCCAUCGUUCCUGCUCAGUUGUGACAACCCUGUUUUGGUGCGCGACUUCAACGACUGUCAUGGUGAAGCAGGCCAAUAACAGGAGUGUGCGGCCUAUCGGCCACCGAUCUGUACCAACCAGACUGUACAGACCACCGAUUUCUUCUCCUUGCAUGUUCAGUGGGCGAAUCUCGAAAACCAGGUGCCACCGGGUGUGGAUACUUGGGACAACAUUGGAACAGUGAACCUGAAACACCUCUGCAGGAAUCGGUGCAUGAAGCAGUUUGUGAUAUUUGGGAACUUCAAAAGCCACAUUGUUGAUACUUGGCAGACGGUUAGCAAGAAAUGGAGCUUCACUUUGAAAUUUGACAAGGUAGCAUGCACCACCAAGAGUAUUGACCGAAGUUUGAGAUCAAACCAUGGCACUGCCCUACGGUUGGAAAUGUGAACAGUUGCUUGCUGAGGGAGAACUUCGAGCUUUUCUAUAGCUGGCUUGCCAAGCAGCUGCUGCUCUAGCUCU